UGGGGAAUAUUGCACAAUGGGGGGAACCCUGAUGCAGCGACGCCGCGUGAGUGAAGAAGUCAUUCGUGAUGUAAAGCUCUAUCAGCAGGGAAGAAAAUGACGGUACCUGACUAAGAAGCCCCGGCUAACUACGUGCCAGCAGCCGCGGUAAUACGUAGGGGGCAAGCGUUAUCCGGAUUUACUGGGUGUAAAGGGAGCGUAGACGGCAGCGCAAGUCCGAAGUGAAAGCCCGGGGCCCAACCCCGGGACUGCUUUGGAAACUGUGAAGCUGGAGUGCGGGAGGGGCAGGCGGAAUUCCUGGUGUAGCGGUGAAAUGCGUAGAUAUCAGGAGGAACACCGGCGGCGAAGGCGGCCUGCUGGACCGUAACUGACGUUGAGGCUCGAAAGCGUGGGGAGCAAACAGG
RNAcentral lists this ribosomal RNA (404 nucleotides) under uncultured bacterium. RNAcentral's name for it is "bacterial SSU rRNA". It matches the Rfam family "Bacterial small subunit ribosomal RNA", at positions 355 to 776 of the family's 1533-position model. The record is from RNAcentral.